This 444-nucleotide ribosomal RNA is filed under the name uncultured bacterium. Its description in RNAcentral is "bacterial SSU rRNA". It matches the Rfam family "Bacterial small subunit ribosomal RNA", at positions 958 to 1398 of the family's 1533-position model. The record is from RNAcentral.
AACGCGAAGAACCUUACCUGGGCUCGAAGCACAGUGGAACGCUGGGUAGAAAUACCCUCGACGUGAUUAAGACUGCUGUGGAGGUGCUGCAUGGCUGUCGUCAGCUCGUGUCGUGAGAUGUUGGGUUAAGUCCCGCAACGAGCGCAACCCUUAUCCCUAGUUGCUACCGGGUCAAGCCGAGCACUCUAGUGAAACUGCCUCGGAUAACGAGGAGGAAGGUGGGGAUGACGUCAAGUCCUCAUGGCCUUUAUGUCCAGGGCUACACACGUGCUACAAUGGUCGGUACAAACCGUCGCAAACCCGCGAGGGGGAGCUAAUCGGAAAAAGCCGACCUCAGUUCGGAUUGGAGUCUGCAACUCGACUCCAUGAAGCUGGAAUCGCUAGUAAUCGCGGAUCAGAACGCCGCGGUGAAUACGUUCCCGGGCCUUGUACACACCGGUACUA